Molecule: ribosomal RNA, 1244 nt
Filed under: Enterococcus faecium
Lineage: Bacteria; Bacillati; Bacillota; Bacilli; Lactobacillales; Enterococcaceae
Description: partial 23S ribosomal RNA
Rfam family: Bacterial large subunit ribosomal RNA
Source: RNAcentral
GUUGAUAAGGUUAAGUGAAUAAGGGCGCACGGUGGAUGCCUUGGCACUAGGAGCCGAUGAAGGACGGGACUAACACCGAUAUGCUUUGGGGAGCUGUACGUAAGCUAUGAUCCAGAGAUUUCCGAAUGGGGGAACCCAACAUCUUUAAUAGGAUGUUACGAUUGUGUGAAUACAUAGCACAUUCGAGGUAGACGCAGAGAACUGAAACAUCUAAGUACCUGCAGGAAGAGAAAGAAAAUUCGAUUCCCUGAGUAGCGGCGAGCGAAACGGGAAAAGCCCAAACCAGCAAGCUUGCUUGUUGGGGUUGUAGGACUCCAAUAUGGUAGUUCUUUCAGAUAGUCGAAUGACUUGGAAAAGUCAGUCAAAGAGGGUAAAAACCCCGUAGACGAAAUGUGGAAGACACCUAGGAGGAUCCUGAGUACGGCGGAACACGAGAAAUUCCGUCGGAAUCCGGGAGGACCAUCUCCCAAGGCUAAAUACUCCCUAGUGACCGAUAGUGAACCAGUACCGUGAGGGAAAGGUGAAAAGCACCCCGGAAGGGGAGUGAAAUAGAACCUGAAACCGUGUGCCUACAACAAGUCAAAGCCCGUUAAUGGGUGAUGGCGUGCCUUUUGUAGAAUGAACCGGCGAGUUACGAUUGCAUGCGAGGUUAAGUUGAAGAGACGGAGCCGCAGCGAAAGCGAGUCUGAAUAGGGCGUUUGAGUAUGUAGUCGUAGACCCGAAACCAUGUGAUCUACCCAUGUCCAGGUUGAAGGUGCGGUAAAACGCACUGGAGGACCGAACCCACGUACGUUGAAAAGUGCGGGGAUGAGGUGUGGGUAGCGGAGAAAUUCCAAACGAACUUGGAGAUAGCUGGUUCUCUCCGAAAUAGCUUUAGGGCUAGCCUCGGAAUUGAGAAUGAUGGAGGUAGAGCACUGUUUGGACUAGGGGCCCAUCUCGGGUUACCGAAUUCAGAUAAACUCCGAAUGCCAUUCAUUCAUAUCCGGGAGUCAGACUGUGAGUGAUAAGAUCCAUAGUCGAAAGGGAAACAGCCCAGACCACCAGCUAAGGUCCCAAAAUAUAUGUUAAGUGGAAAAGGAUGUGGGGUUGCACAGACAACUAGGAUGUUGGCUUAGAAGCAGCCACCAUUUAAAGAGUGCGUAAUAGCUCACUAGUCGAGUGACCCUGCGCCGAAAAUGUACCGGGGCUAAACAUAUUACCGAAGCUGUGGAGUACACCUUUAGGUGUAUUGGUAGGAGAGCGUU